This 305-nucleotide ribosomal RNA is filed under the name uncultured bacterium. RNAcentral describes it as "bacterial SSU rRNA". It matches the Rfam family "Bacterial small subunit ribosomal RNA", at positions 337 to 659 of the family's 1533-position model. The record is from RNAcentral.
UCCUACGGGAGGCAGCAGUGGGGAAUAUUGCACAAUGGGGGAAACCCUGAUGCAGCGACGCCGCGUGAAGGAAGAAGUAUUUCGGUAUGUAAACUUCUAUCAGCAGGGAAGAAAAUGACGGUACCUGACUAAGAAGCCUCGGCUAACUACGUGCCAGCAGCCGCGGUAAUACGUAGGGGGCAAGCGUUAUCCGGAUUUACUGGGUGUAAAGGGAGCGUAGACGGCAGUGCAAGUCCGGAGUGAAAGCCCGGGGCUCAACCCUGGGACUGCUCUGGAAACUGUAAAGCUGGAGUGCGGGAGGGGCG